This 65-nucleotide microRNA precursor is filed under the name Panagrellus redivivus. Its description in RNAcentral is "microRNA prd-mir-9a precursor". Its record names the gene prd-mir-9a. The record is from miRBase by way of RNAcentral. Lineage: Eukaryota; Metazoa; Nematoda; Chromadorea; Rhabditida; Panagrolaimidae.
UCUUUGGUUGCGUAGCUUAUUGACAGCCCUCCGUAAUUGAUUCAUAAAGCUAGGCGACUGAAGCA